GACGAACGCUGGCGGCAUGCCUAACACAUGCAAGUCGAACGAAAACUUCGGGUCUAGUGGCGCAAGGGUGCGUAACGCGUGGGAAAAUGGCCUUAGGAUCGGAAUAUCUUCCCGCCAGGGGUGCUAAAAAAGGCUAAUGAACUCGGACCAAAGCUUUAUAGCCUUUGGGUGGGCUCGCGUUGGAUUAGCUAGUUGGUAGGGUAAAUGCCUACCAAGGCGCCGCCUCAUAGCUGGUCUAAGAGGAUGAUCAGCAACACUGGGACGGAGACGCGGCCGAGGCUCCGACGAGAGGCAGCAGGGGGGAAUAUUGAUGAAGGGACGAAGGCCUGAGCCAGCCAGGCCUCGGGAUGUAUGAAGGCCUUGGGGGUGUAAAGCUCUUUUGCCCGGGAUGAUAAUGACGGUACCGGGAGAAGAAGCACCGGCUAACUCCGUG
RNAcentral lists this ribosomal RNA (433 nucleotides) under uncultured bacterium. RNAcentral's name for it is "partial 16S ribosomal RNA". It matches the Rfam family "Bacterial small subunit ribosomal RNA", at positions 28 to 507 of the family's 1533-position model. The record is from RNAcentral.